GGAAAGUUUCCUUGCGGAAAGGGGAGCAGAGAGUAGGGAGGUAGUCGCGAGAAGGGAGAGGGGCGAGAUGGAGUUCAGGGAAAUAGAGGAGAGAGAGAGGGAAGAACAGAGAAAAGAGAGGUGGGAGAAAAUAAGGGAAUCGACGUACAACAGAUGGUACAGGCUAGUGAAAGGAGAAGGGAUACCAGGAUAUCUGGGAAAGGGAUGGGGAGAAAGCAGGUGAAUAAGGGUGGCAAGAUUUAGAUUAGGAAGCGAGAUGAAGGAGGCAAGGUACCGGGAAGAAGAGGAAAAGAGAAGGUGUAGGGAUCGGUAGAGCGCCGUG
This 322-nucleotide long non-coding RNA is filed under the name Neodiprion pinetum (white pine sawfly). Its description in RNAcentral is "uncharacterized LOC124221976". Lineage: Eukaryota; Metazoa; Arthropoda; Insecta; Hymenoptera; Diprionidae. The record is from RNAcentral.